RNAcentral lists this ribosomal RNA (456 nucleotides) under uncultured bacterium. RNAcentral's name for it is "bacterial SSU rRNA". It matches the Rfam family "Bacterial small subunit ribosomal RNA", at positions 346 to 793 of the family's 1533-position model. The record is from RNAcentral.
AGGCAGCAGUGGGGAAUUUUGCGCAAUGGGCGAAAGCCUGACGCAGCAACGCCGCCUGAGUGAUGAAGGCCUUCGGGUCGUAAAGCUCUGUCAGGGGGAAAGAAGUGUAUUGAGGUUAAUACCCUCGAUACUUGACGGUACCCCCAAAGGAAGCACCGGCUAACUCCGUGCCAGCAGCCGCGGUAAUACGGGGGGUGCGAGCGUUGUUCGGAUUUAUUGGGCGUAAAGAGCGUGUAGGCGGUUUGUUUAGUCUGAUGUGAAAGCCCUGGGCUCAACCCAGGAAGUGCAUUGGAAACUGGCAGACUUGAAUACGGGAGAGGGUAGUGGAAUUCCUAGUGUAGGAGUGAAAUCCGUAGAUAUUAGGAGGAACACCGGUGGCGAAGGCGGCUACCUGGACCGAUAUUGACGCUGAGACGCGAAAGCGUGGGUAGCAAACAGGAUUAGAUACCCUGGUAG